CCUCCAUCCCCUCCCACUGUCCCCUCCCUCGGUUCCCUCGGAGGCGCCGCCGCCGCCGCCUCCCUUGCCUGUUCCUCGCUGCCUGCCCGCCUCAAGGCGAAGCGCCGCGCGCGCCCCCAACCGCCUCCCCGCGAGGCGUCCUCGCCGCUGCGGCCCGCCCGCUGGCCCCAUCCCGCCCCCGCCUCGCCUCUGCCCGCCGCCUGCGGGGCUUCUCCCGGCCGGCGCGGGCCCGGCUCGGCCCGCCCGCAGGCCCCGCCGUGCUUCCCCCGGGGUGAACUGCCCCGUGCUCCCUGACCUCCCGCCUCCUCUCACCCAGGUUACGGCCACAUUCCUCAGCCCCUCUUAGUUCCUAACUUGCUUCCUACUCGCCCACUUCUUGAAAUUUAGGUGGGGUUCCGCAGCAGCCACCGCCCCCGCCGCCGCCCCCAGCACUCUCGCAGCUUCCCUCAGCGCGCCCCUCGCCCGGCCAGCCACCACAAGUUGCCGGUGCCCGCGUCUCACCUGAACGGCACCAUCUUGCCACUGCUAGUGUCCCAGGAUGAAAGGAUGUUAUCUAUCCCGUGCCAAGAGGGAACUGAGGUGCAGGGGGAGGGGAAGAAAGUCUUCAAAACUAGCCCGCCUUGAGCAAUGAACAUAUGGCUGUUGCUAUCAGCACUGGUGUAUUUGCGGCGAUGCCUAUCAACAUCCACCAGAGAGCAGGGCAGCUCCAAAACCCACAUCUUUUAUGCUGUGGAAAUUGAUGGAGACAGCAACACAGCCAGCUUCUUGGCCAAACAACAUGGAAUGCAGUUCAUUUCAAAGGUACUGGUCUCUUAGCCUGUAAGGCUUGUGCAUGAUGUAUACGAGAGCGAUUUCCAGCGGCGUGAAGCUUAUCACAGAUCCACCUAAAAGGAAGAGGCAAUGGCAUCAACAACAUGCCCCUGUGGCUGAAAGACAUUACUCAGUGGAAGAACAGUCUGUUAGACUCCUCCUGGCAUGAUGGAAGUGAUGCCUGUGGGGAGGGAAAAUAUUUCCAGGAACUGAAGGAAUGAUUAUAGCAUCUCUAAAGAGGACAUUUGCCUGUGACUGUUGAAGUGCUGAACUGAUUUUCCUAAUCCUAGAUAAAUAAAUAGAAAGAAGGCUUUCUGCUCCUGUAGGCUGUGCUGAAGGCUGCGCCUUUUCCUGCCAGGUAUGGACUUUGCUACAGUAAUUCAAGGCUUGUUUAUCACUGUGCUGGAUUACUUCAGACUCUUCUACUUGGGGUUGUCAGCUAAAAAGCACAGAAACAUCAGGUGUUAAAGCUUGAUGAAAUUUCUAACACGAAGAAGAUAACAGACUGCUGUUUAGAUGUGUCAGCAGCAUACAGCAUCAAAAUAUCUUCAAGGCCAUGGUCAUUCUCUCCAAAUCUCCCAGUGGGUGGAGAUUUGGGAUGGAGCCCCUGUGGGCCCCCAUGGGAGGUCCCAUGGGACAAGGAUCAGGACAAUACUUUAAAGCAAGGACUGAAUCCUUUUAGUGGAGGUUCUUUGGCCUGAAAAUAGGGAUGGGAUUUUCCAGUUAGGGCACAUAAUGGGAAUGCCCCUUUUUACAUACUGUUUCCUUCUUCCACCAAUUACAUUCCUCUGCAGUCGCAUGCUUUUCAAAAAUAAUUAUGUGUCUACCAGUACUUGUGCUUAGGUUUUGGAAUCAUACUUGAUACAUGUUGUAUUAUGGUGUUUUCCCUGUAAAUUCGUAUGUAUGUAUGUAUUUUCAUGAUACUUCAAUAAAACCAUCAAAAUUGAAAUUAAAGCAAAAUAAAAACAAAUGGGUAAGAACAUAUGGAAAGGGAUAAGCCCGUUAUCAUGUUUAUUAUGAGUGUUGUUUGCUAAAAACAUCAGCUUUGAUCUAGCUUUAUGAAGUAAAUCCACUGGAGAUUUAUUUUACAAAACUAUAAAAAAAUUCUGAAACUGUCACUUACAUUUUUACAAGGUUCUCUAAUACUCUACAGACUGUAUAAGAUUACAAAGUAGUGGAUUAGUAUGGGGGACAACAAUUACUACCUGUGAGAUGACUUUCUUCCUGUUCCACUAUAUAUUUAUGGUGCUAUGUUGCUAAAUAAUAGAUGUGUCCUAUUCUAGAUCACUACAUAUUCUUAUGGACCUUUGCAAUUCCUGUAAUUCCUUUUGAUGAAAAAAUGCUUCUUUGUCUGUAAAUAGCAUGGCUACUGUAAGAAAUUAUUAGGGAAAAAAAUAAUGAAAAGAGAAAAAUAAUUAAAGCUUAACUUUUUUUUUGUUUUUAAUAUGUAAUAUUUAAAUUUUAUUUCAUGCUGGCAUGAGGGUGAUUAGAAUCGUGUUAUAAUAUAUAUAAGGAUAUAUAUAUAAAAGAAUUAGCAUUUAUUUCUCUUACUUAUGCUAAGUAAAAACUAGCAACAACAAGCUCAGGAAUUCAGGACUUGUCUUUCAUAAAACUUUUGACUAUCAGGAUUUCUCGCUUUGUCCCUCCUCCUACCAGUCUGACACAGCCUCAUGAUUCUGGUCACUACAGCCAGUGAACAUCUGAUGAUGAUGACCAUGAUGAAACUCCUAAAACUUUCAUGCCUCCGUUAUUGCCUCCAGGGCUGAAAUGAGGUGAGGCUGCAAGCGACUUGGGUAACAUCAUUAGAAUCUUAUCAAAACUGGUUGUUAAUGAACCAUUUGAUUAAGCAGAAGGAAUUCUUUCUGCUGCUUACACUGACAACAAAAAAAAAAAAGGGCAAAGGAAAAGGUUUGGAUGUGAAAAUAUUUCUCCUUGCAGGAACAGCAUGAAUCAGCUGCAGUUUGUUUUGUUAUCACAUACACACUCUGGUAUAGGGGUAAGCAGGGCAGGCAGAGAUUUUGCAGAUGACAUUUCUAUAUCAAUUUUAUAUAAGAAUGCUGUACAUGCCUGGUUUAGGCUGCAAAAUUUGCAGUGUGAACUACUUAAGUUCUGGCUCUUUGGUAGCAGAGAAUUGUGAAGCUAAAAUAAUCUUUAGUUCCUUUACCCCGAUAGCUGAUUUUUACACCUGAAAUCCCAGAGCUUCAGUGUUUGUGCUUACACAUAGGUAUGUGUUUGCUUAUGAAAUUUAUUUUUUCUCCAAAACCCCAGCUUAUAUCCAUAGAAAACUAUCUACAGAUUUUAUAAACAUCAUUGGCUUAUUCAGCUUUCACUUUUUUUCUGUGCUUAAGAGUAGGUCACACUUAGGACUGAUGUGUGAGGCCAAAGAGCUUUUCUUCUUCUACAGCUCCCAGCCUGUUUUUUCACCAGCAUAAUUUCCCAUCAUUUCUCGAUUUCACUUUAUUCGUUAUAAUACUUCUCAUCUUAAUGUGGUUUUUUUUUGACUGUUAAUACAAUCUCAUACACGUAUUCUUUCCCCCUGCUCUCCCCCUCCCCCCCUUCA
Phalacrocorax carbo (great cormorant) is the source of this 3370-nucleotide non-coding RNA. The record is from RefSeq and is a predicted model, not a curated record. NCBI's taxonomy places the organism in Eukaryota, Metazoa, Chordata, Aves, Suliformes, Phalacrocoracidae.